Molecule: long non-coding RNA, 1799 nt
Filed under: Homo sapiens (human)
Lineage: Eukaryota; Metazoa; Chordata; Mammalia; Primates; Hominidae
Description: HSALNT0354343
Source: RNAcentral
UUCACAUCUCCAGCACUGGGCCCUUUCAUCUCCAGCGCUGGGCCCUUUCAUCUCCAGCACUGGGCCUUUACAUCUCCAGCGCUGGACCUUUACUUGUCCAGCACUGGGCCUUUACAUCUCCAGUGCUGGGCCCUUACAUCUCCAGAGCUGGGCCCUUUCAUCUCCAGCGCUGGGCCCUUUCAUCUCCAGCGCCGGGCCCUUAACAUCUCCAGCGCCGGGCCCUUUCAUCUCCAGCGCCGGGCCCUUACAUCUCCAGCGCCGGGCCCUUAACAUCUCCAGCGCCGGGCUCUUUCAUCUCCAGCGCCGGGCCCUUACAUCUCCAGCGCCGGGCCCUUACAUCUCCAGCGCCGGGCCCUUUCAUCUCCAGCGCCGGGCCCUUUCAUCUCCAGCGCCGGGCCCUUAACAUCUCCAGCGCCGGGCCCUUUCAUCUCCAGCGCCGGGCCCUUAACAUCUCCAGCGCCGGGCCCUUAACAUCUCCAGCGCCGGGCCCUUAACAUCUCCAGCGCCGGGCCCUUAACAUCUCCAGCGCCGGGCCCUUUCAUCUCCAGCGCCGGGCCUUUACAUCUCCAGCGCCGGGCCUUUACAUCUCCAGAGCUGGGCCUUUACAUCUCCAGGGCUGGGCCCUUAAAUCUCCAGCACUGGGCCUUUAUAUCUCCAGCGCUGGGCCCUUCACAACUCCAGCGCUGGGCCCUUCACAUCUCCAGCGCUGGGCCCUUCACGUCUCCAGCGCUGGGUCCUUCACAUCUCCAGCACUGGGCCUUCACAUCUCCAGGGCUGGGCCCUUAAAUCUCCAGCACUGGGCCUUUAUAUCUCCAGCAGCAAUAUAAAGCCGAGGACCCAGCAAGUGUUCACCUCUGGAGAAUUUGAUGAAUUCUAUGCAUCUGAAAGGCCUCCGAUGCUUAAGACCUUUUUUUUCUUUUCAAGUCUCGAACAUUUAUUGAACACGUAUAUGUGCCAAGCGCUAUUCUCAAACUGCCCCAUGAGGAAUGGACCACAGAGCUCCAUUUUACAGAUGGGGAAACUGAGAUGGGAGGAUGAGCCUGAGACCACACAGGAAGCAAAGCCUACAGCUUCCAAGAUGAAGCAUGGAAUUCCAGACUGAGGGGCUUUACAAGUUCAUCUCUCUCCCUACAUCCAACUCAGUCUGCUCCUACAACAGAUCCCACUGCCAGAGAGACAAUGAAAGAAACCAAGGCUUCAAAAGGAAGCUACACUGAAGCAGAAAGAACUAGUGGUACCCCUGGAAGCCACACCUGCUCUUCCUAUGCUCCAGGGCUCUGUGCCAUUCCUGCAGCUUGAGCCAGGAGGAAUGUUUGCAAGGAUACCAGCCAUUUUGCCAAUGUGCACAGUUUUUCUUUAGUCAUUACUGGAGGAGACUGACUUUCUUCUGUUUCAAAUAUCUAAAGAUCACUUUCAGAGCAAACUGAGAGUAAACUAACUGGAUGGGCUAAUCCUACCUUGGAUCCUCCUCUGCCAUUUCAUUGUUAGAAUCAAUUUCUGCAGGAGUAUUUCACAUAUUUUACUGUCAGUGUCUCUGCAAACCCAACACAUUAUGGAGGAGAGAGCAAGCCUCUGAAGCCAGACACACCUGAGAUUAAAUCCUGGUUCUGCCAUUUUAUUAGCCAUGUGACUUUAAAAGGUUACUUAAUCUCUCAGGGCCUUGAUUUCCUCAUCUGUAAAAUUGGGUAAGAAUGCCUACUUUGUUUUAUUUGUUGUUGUUGUUUUGUCCGGUUUGGGGUGUUUGUUUGUUUGAUAGAGACAGUGUCUUACUCUUGCCCAGGCUGGAGCGCACUGGCAUG